Molecule: ribosomal RNA, 389 nt
Filed under: uncultured soil bacterium
Lineage: Bacteria
Description: bacterial SSU rRNA
Rfam family: Bacterial small subunit ribosomal RNA
Source: RNAcentral
AGAUUGAACGCUAGCGGGAUGCUUUACACAUGCAAGUCGAACGGCAGCGCGGACUUCGGUCUGGCGGCGAGUGGCGAACGGGUGAGUAAUAUAUCGGAACGUGCCCAGUAGCGGGGGAUAACUACGCGAAAGCGUGGCUAAUACCGCAUACGCCCUACGGGGGAAAGGGGGGAUCGCAAGACCUCUCACUAUUGGAGCGGCCGAUAUCAGAUUAGCUAGUUGGUGAGGUAAAGGCUCACCAAGGCGACGAUCUGUAGCUGGUUUGAGAGGACGACCAGCCAUACUGGGACUGAGACACGGCCCAGACUCCGUACGGGAGGCAGCAGGUGGGAAUUUGGACAAGUGGGGGAAACCCUGAUCCAGCCAUCCCGCGUGUGCGAUGACGGUCC